GUAAGAAUAAUUAUUUUUUCUGUUUGUAGCCUUCUGACUGAUGCUGUGUGUGAAGUUGUGGCUGUAGUGCAGCAGCUGUGCUUUGGGUAGAUUCUCACACCAGAGAGACAGUCUGAGGAGAAYCUCACACCUGGACACAUUUAUAUCURUUUUACAKRUUUAAAUGGAGGCGUGUCAGGGGAGGAGUCUCAGCUCCACCUUCAUUAGGAUGUAUAAAGGAAAGGUGCGGGUGAACUUUCCAAGGCGUGGCCCUCUUCCACAGGGUGGGACUGGAGGGGAAAGGACAGCGGAUGUGGUCUCUGAACAAYGCUAACCGGGGCUAGCGGCUAACAUUAGCCUGACAAGUUAUCAUCAGCUGACAGAGCCCGAGCGGCAUCAAAGCGGACUCGGUCACCUGCGCGAAGCCGGUUCAAAGUGUAAACAGUGACACCGGGAAUACGUCACCACCGA
Austrofundulus limnaeus is the source of this 450-nucleotide long non-coding RNA. RefSeq lists it as uncharacterized. The record is from RefSeq and is a predicted model, not a curated record. The transcript is spliced from 3 exons. Lineage: Eukaryota; Metazoa; Chordata; Actinopteri; Cyprinodontiformes; Rivulidae.